This 1236-nucleotide long non-coding RNA is filed under the name Canis lupus familiaris (dog). RNAcentral's name for it is "lncRNA (ENSCAFG00040014891.1)". Lineage: Eukaryota; Metazoa; Chordata; Mammalia; Carnivora; Canidae. The record is from RNAcentral.
AUGGGGGAGGAAGGGGAAACCACCAGAGACCCAGAGACAAAGAGACUGGCAGAGACGAUUGAGACCAGGAGAUCCCAGCGGUCCCACAGAGUAGGAAGGGGCGGCCCAGACCAAAGUUGGGCAUUUCUUGCCUGGGAUUCAGACUCACAGGACCGAGUCGCCCGACAGCAGGAGGGGGCUCCAGGGCCUUGGACGAGCAGGGGUGAAGCAGCUCCUCGGUCGGCCCCGCCGCCGGGAGGCCUCUGCCGAGUGUCCAGGCUGCCCGCACCCCAGCUCCCCGAUCCCGGGCAGGCCCUGCCCCGCUGCCCCAGCGCCCCGCCCAGCCAGCCCAGAGCCCUACCUCUCGGCCUCGGCCACCGAGCUGGGCCGGGGGUCCCGGAGCCUACGAUGUCGGGCUGUCCUUCCCGCGGGGGGCGCGGCGGCGAUCAGGGGCUGUCCGCUUCUCUUCGGGGGCCGCACUUCGCCCCGCAAGGCAUCUUCGUAAAAAGUUUGCUCGCCAGAAAAGAAGGGACCCCCGCCUCCUUGGUGGAGCCCAGGCGCGGCCUCCGAAGCCCCAAGGGUCCCGGGACUGGUGAGGGAAGAGGCGGCUCUGCCCCCACCCCGAUCCUCCAGGUGGAGCCGCCUAGGUGGCUGGGGCGAGCAGGUCUCUCAAAUCUCCUCCGCGUGGAACCGCUGGGUCUCUCUCCGCUCCUCGGCUCUUCUCUCCGGUCUCUCUGCCUUUCUCUUUCUGGGCUGUUGACAACCCCCACACCAGGAAGUCCUGCCUCCUCGGGCCUGCUGACUGCUCCUCUCCUCCUCCUCCUUCCCCUCUUCCUCCCCUUCCUCCGCCCUCUCUGCCUCCUGGGGCUCCCGGCCAGCUGGCCCGGGGCCAGGCCUGCCACCACCUCUGCUGCCACUGCUGCUGCUGUUCCUGCCCCCUCCCCGCCCCCCCGCAACAGGCUUAACCCCACACCUGCUGGGCCCCAAUCCUGCGUUUCCUCGGAGGGAGGGGCCGUGGAGGGCAGAGAGAAAAGGGGAGGAGUUUGCCGGGGGGCCAGGGAUUCCCUUACUUGUAGGCACUUGCUGCCAUUGGCCUACGGAGAGAGCAAGAACUUGCCAACCAGGGGCUCUGCUGGGUGCCCGCCACCCCAUAAGCUGCUGCUCAGCUCUUGCCAUAUCUUCACUGGUGUUCACAGUAACUCUAUGAGGAAGGUUCCGUUAUUCUUUCCUGUCUUUAUUUUAAAACGUGGAUUAUGA